Molecule: ribosomal RNA, 431 nt
Filed under: uncultured bacterium
Lineage: Bacteria
Description: partial 16S ribosomal RNA
Rfam family: Bacterial small subunit ribosomal RNA
Source: RNAcentral
AACGAACGCUGGCGGCAGGCUUAACACAUGCAAGUCGAACGCCCCGCAAGGGGAGUGGCAGACGGGUGAGUAACGCGUGGGAACAUACCCUUUUCUACGGAAUAGCUCUGGGAAACUGGAAUUAAUACCGUAUACGCCCUACGGGGGAAAGAUUUAUCGGGGAAGGAUUGGCCCGCGUUGGAUUAGCUAGUUGGUGGGGUAAAGGCCUACCAAGGCGACGAUCCAUAGCUGGUCUGAGAGGAUGAUCAGCCACAUUGGGACUGAGACACGGCCCAAACUCCUACGGGAGGCAGCAGUGGGGAAUAUUGGACAAUGGGCGCAAGCCUGAUCCAGCCAUGCCGCGUGAGUGAUGAAGGCCUUAGGGUUGUAAAGCUCUUUCAACGAUGAAGAUAAUGACGGUAGUCGGAGAAGAAGCCCCGGCUAACUUCGUG